AUACGGAGGGUGCAAGCGUUACUCGGAAUCACUGGGCGUAAAGCGCGCGCAGGCGGGCUGAUAAGUUGGAUGUGAAAGCCUACGGCUCAACCGUAGAACUGCAUCCAAAACUGUCAGUCUAGAGUCUGGGAGGGGAAGAUGGAAUUAGUUGUGUAGGGGUAAAAUCCGUAGAGAUAACUAGGAAUACCAAAAGCGAAGGCGAUCUUCUGGAACAGUACUGACGCUGAGGUACGAAAGCGUGGGUAGCGAACAGGAUUAGAAACCCUAGUAGUCC
This 274-nucleotide ribosomal RNA is filed under the name uncultured bacterium. RNAcentral describes it as "partial 16S ribosomal RNA". It matches the Rfam family "Bacterial small subunit ribosomal RNA", at positions 523 to 796 of the family's 1533-position model. The record is from RNAcentral.